Long non-coding RNA from Calidris pugnax (ruff), 1140 nucleotides. RefSeq lists it as uncharacterized. The transcript has 7 exons. The record is from RefSeq and is a predicted model, not a curated record. NCBI's taxonomy places the organism in Eukaryota, Metazoa, Chordata, Aves, Charadriiformes, Scolopacidae.
CUACCCCUUUUAAGAGGCUGGCAGAUUAUGCACAGCAGCACAAUGAAAUAAAGGGAAUUACUUAUACAAGUGCUGUCCCACAUAAGGGCUGCAAAACUCAGUCUUGCCAUUUCUUCCCUGCCCUGCAGUGUUAUCAAGGGUCCUGGUUUCAGCUGCGAUAAUUUCCUUUCUAGUGGGUGCUGUGUUUCAGAUUUGGUAUGAAAGGAAUCUCAAUAAUGCAUAUUGUUUUGGCUCUUCCUAGCUGAUGUUUAUAAUAUUCAAGGACGUUUUUCAGCUUCCCGUAGAAGCUGAGGAGCAUACAUAGAACAAUGGAAUGGCCAAUGGAAUAUUUUGUAACAUAGAUGUCAUGCUUGCAAACCGGACAUAAGUGGACCUUCUUCAUGCUAGGCGAUGUAAUCCCAGUGUCCCUGGAGGAUGUACAAAGAGAGCUGAUGCAGUGAAUGAAUAGCUCCAGAAGUAGAAAUCUUCUGCCUUUGGGAAAGAGGAAGUAAAUCCAGGACAAGAGUUUUGAAGACUGAACAAAGAGCAUCAACAUGAUGGUUAACUUCUCUGUAAAAUCCUGGCCCGGGCUUGUAUUAACCAAAGCACUUCAAGAUGAGUUCAACUUUUAAGCAUUAGCUUAAGCCCCUUCCUUUUGGAAAAGUAGUUAAACCAAGGCCUGAAAUGAAGUGUACCACCCUUGAGGGCAGGUGAAGGUUUGUACAUAAGAUGUAUGCUUUGCAUUGAGAUUCAAGAAAAUAACACUCCCUGAAGCCUGAUCCAAAGCCAAUGAGACUCUGUUAACUUUGGUUAAGUUUGUUUUUGGAAGCAAAUAGUAAUUCCAGCAAAGAAUAUAAGUGAGUAGAAGACACACUGGGAGUUCUGGAUGUUUUUAUAGGUGUAUGAUCAUCUAAGAAAGAGAAGAGCUAUUUGAGUAAAAGACUCAAUUGACAGAAGAGCAAACGUGCUUGCGUACUGAGCCUGUGGAAAAAUAUUUGUGAGAAAAUUGUAGUGAGGAAAGUAACAUGUGUUCAAGAAGGUACCAGUUGGAACACUGGAAUACAAUUUAUAAGCCCUUCUUCUGAUUAAGGAAAAUCUUUGGAUAUCUGAAGUUCAACAGAAUGAAAAAAGCCCAAAUCAUCAAAAGGAGAGAAGGUGAAG